GCGUCAGUGGUUUAGUGGUAAAAUCCAUCGUUGCCAUCGAUGGGCCCCGCGUUCGAUUCGCGGCUGACGCA
RNAcentral lists this transfer RNA (71 nucleotides) under Achaetomium macrosporum. RNAcentral describes it as "tRNA-Gly". It matches the Rfam family "tRNA". From Rfam's summary of the family: Transfer RNA (tRNA) molecules are approximately 80 nucleotides in length. Their secondary structure includes four short double-helical elements and three loops (D, anti-codon, and T loops). Further hydrogen bonds mediate the characteristic L-shaped molecular structure. tRNAs have two regions of fundamental functional importance: the anti-codon, which is responsible for specific mRNA codon recognition, and the 3' end, to which the tRNAs corresponding amino acid is attached (by aminoacyl-tRNA synthetases). tRNAs cope with the degeneracy of the genetic code in two manners: having more than one tRNA (with a specific anti-codon) for a particular amino acid; and 'wobble' base-pairing, i.e. permitting non-standard base-pairing at the 3rd anti-codon position. RNAcentral also lists the same sequence under 43 other names. The record is from RNAcentral. Lineage: Eukaryota; Fungi; Ascomycota; Sordariomycetes; Sordariales; Chaetomiaceae.